CGGGGUGCAGCAGGCGCGAAAACUUUACAAUGCGGGAAACCGUGAUAAGGGGACACCGAGUGCCAGCAUCAUAUGCUGGCUGUCCGGGUGUGUAAAAUACACCCGUUAGCAAGGGCCGGGCAAGACCGGUGCCAGCCGCCGCGGUAACACCGGCGGCCCGAGUGGUGAUCGUGAUUAUUGGGUCUAAAGGGUCCGUAGCCGGUUUGGUCAGUCCUCCGGGAAAUCUGACGGCUCAACCGUUAGGCUUUCGGGGGAUACUGCCAGGCUCGGAACCGGGAGAGGUAAGAGGUACUACAGGGGUAGGAGUGAAAUCUUGUAAUCCCUGUGAGACCACCCGUGGCGAAGGCGUCUUACCAGAACGGGUUCGACGGUGAGGGAAGAAAGCUGGGGGCACGAACCGGAUUAGAUACCCGGGUAGUCCCAGCCGUAAACGAUGCUCCCUAGGUGUCAGGCAUGGCGCGACCGUGUCUGGUGCCGCAGGGAAGCCGUGAAGCGAGCCACUCCCGAAUUACAGCCGCAAGCAUGAAACAUAAAG
RNAcentral lists this ribosomal RNA (535 nucleotides) under uncultured archaeon. Its description in RNAcentral is "bacterial SSU rRNA". It matches the Rfam family "Archaeal small subunit ribosomal RNA", at positions 326 to 861 of the family's 1478-position model. The record is from RNAcentral.